Molecule: long non-coding RNA, 367 nt
Organism: Prunus dulcis (almond)
Lineage: Eukaryota; Viridiplantae; Streptophyta; Magnoliopsida; Rosales; Rosaceae
Exons: 2
Source: RefSeq, a predicted model, not a curated record
UAUUUUCUCAGACGCCCUUUCUCUAUUAUCUCUUCCUCCUCAUCCUCUCUCUCUCUCUCUCCGAUGAAGAAGGUGAAGGGGGUGAUGAUGGCGAGGGACAUAUCGACAACAACGACGAUGAGGGUGAGCCCAUACCUUCAUCAAUGACGACAACGACAACAACGAGAGGGUUGGGAAAAGUUAUUUAUACCUAGUGUGGAAGCAAGAAGCUAUUACAUUUUCUCAGUUUCUUGAGAGGAUUAAGGCUAAUGGCUCUUCCUCUGCUGCCCCAACAUAUCUUGAGAGGAUUUGCAUCUCAUAUUCACCAAAUGCAACUUUUGAAAUUAUUCUUAUAAACUGGUACUUUUAAACUUUUAUUAAUUUGUUC